RNAcentral lists this long non-coding RNA (630 nucleotides) under Homo sapiens (human). Its description in RNAcentral is "HSALNT0155388". The record is from RNAcentral. Lineage: Eukaryota; Metazoa; Chordata; Mammalia; Primates; Hominidae.
UAUCUUAGCUCAACCCCUUCCAGUCCUGUGACCUUGGGCAUGUCGUUUGACUCUGAGUGUUAGUUCCCACAUGUGUGAAAUUGGAGAUAGUGACAUAACCUGCUCCACCAAGCUGUGGUGAAAAUCAAGCAAGUCCAUCAGGUUUUGCCUGCACCAACCCCCGCCCCACUCCAAGGUUCAGGAUUGCUGAGAUGCAGCAGGAGAGUUAUAGGGGAUGCACUUGAGGCUGAGGGGCCAGCUGGGAGGUGGCACAGACAAGCCAUGAGAGAAGCCGGUGGCCUGGCCCAGGCAGUGACCAAAGGAGUGGAGAGAGCCGACGUGCCAAGUGUCUCUGAGAGGAGAGCUGCACGGGCCCAGUGACAUCCUGGCUGGGGGUGAAGGAGGACUCGUCAAUGAGGACUGACCCCUCCCAGAUUCCAGCUUGGCUUUGCCUUCCAGUUGCAAAAAAUGGUAUCUUCUUACCACUAAAGAGGUGGAAAAUGCAGGAAAUCACAAAGAAGAAAAACAUCGCCAGCAACCCUGGAGCCCUGAAAGAAAAAUCACUGUGGCUAUUUUCACAUUUUCUCUUCCAGAUUUUCUUCAGUAUGUAUAAUAUAUGCACACCAAUAAAUAAGUGUUUUACAAAACAGA